Molecule: ribosomal RNA, 253 nt
Filed under: uncultured bacterium
Lineage: Bacteria
Description: partial 16S ribosomal RNA
Rfam family: Bacterial small subunit ribosomal RNA
Source: RNAcentral
UACAGAGGGUGCGAGCGUUGUUCGGAAUUAUUGGGCGUAAAGGGCGCGUAGGCGGUGCGGUAAGUCACCUGUGAAAUCUCCUGGCUCAACUGGGAGCUUGCAGGCGAAACUGCCGUGCUGGAGUGUGGGAGAGGUGCGUGGAAUUCCUGGUGUAGCGGUGAAAUGCGUAGAUAUCAGGAGGAACGCCUGUGGCGAAAGCGGCGCACUGGACCACAACUGACGCUGAGGCGCGAAAGCUAGGGGAGCAAACAGG